This 1480-nucleotide long non-coding RNA is filed under the name Dasypus novemcinctus (nine-banded armadillo). RNAcentral describes it as "lncRNA (ENSDNOG00000051504.1)". The record is from RNAcentral. Lineage: Eukaryota; Metazoa; Chordata; Mammalia; Cingulata; Dasypodidae.
GGCGCUGGGUUCCGCUCCCGGGAUGGAACAAGAGCGUGCCGGGCGCUGGAGUACUCGCGGCUGACCGAACGCGCCGCGCUCGCCUCGCCUCGCCUCGCCUCGCCGCGCCCCCCUCAGCCCGAGCCUCCCGGGUGGAACGCGCCUCCCGGCUCCCACCGCAGCCCGCCGGGCGGAGGAGGAGCCGUUUGCGCCAGUGCCGUCGGCCAGUCUACUCUCCCGCCGCCCGCGCCGGGAACGGCUCCAGGGUACCAUGAUCUGCAAGACUCUCUUCGCCUUUUGCAUCUUCACGGCAGACUGAAAGAAAUGACGAGAAACAUUGGAGUUUGAAAAGCAAUCCCCACCGACAUCUGAGAACAUCCCCAGCCUCUCCAGGGACAUCGAAGCAAGGAAAGCAGAUGAGCCAACUGGGCUUUGAACCUGUGGCGCCCAAGAGGGAGAGGGCCACGUCUGGCGAAGCAGCUUGCUGUCCUUGGCAAGUCAAGCUACCUGAUUUAGACGCUACCAACUCCACUGCGCCUGGCCUGGGCACUUCAUAGACCCCCUCUCCAAAGGUGCCAUGGGCUUCUGCUUAUGAUUUUACUUGGUUCUUGAUGCAGAAACCUGUGAUAGAGCUGGAAAAUUUUGUCUGAAGCUCUCAGGCCCACUAGCUACAAUAAGUUCCUCUAGAAAUUAGCAGGAAGAGAACAUUCACCAUUCAAGCAAGAAAUACUUGAGGCCCUCUUGAGAUGGUGUGAGAACAGCUGGGCGUUCUAGAGAAAAGCCCAAUCAGUUCUGGGUUUCUGAGAAGGCACAGAAAACUCAAACCAGAGAGACGAGUUUUAUUAGCAUAUUCCAGUUAAUACUCCAUUGUCUUUGAGAGAAAAAUUGGCAUCAUUUAUCUUAUUUCUUAGAUUUCCAUACACUAGCAGCUUGGAUUUGAAACGGUGCCUGUGUUCUUUUGCUAAGUACUUAUGGCAAAAUUUGUAGCAACUCAAAUUCGACCUAAGUUUGGCUCCUAAUUUCUAAAAAAAAAGUUGCUUUUUUGAAAUUACACAUUGAGCAAUGUGUAGUUGGGACCUUACUGUAAGUUCAACAGUUCUACUUGCUCAUUUUCUUUUCACUUGUGAUGCUGAUUGUACAUUCUAGUAUCUUCUUUAAAGAGCACCAACCAGUCCCACACCUGCAGGAGAGCAAUUUCCGCUGGUUGUAAUGAGAGUGGGAAAAUUACAGGCCCCAAAUAUCCAUCUGCAAUUGAAAUGUUGGCCUUCAUCACUCAGGCUCCAAAAUGUGCAAAUCAUAAUGUGUAUGUGUUUUGUUGGUUUUAUUUUUAUAAAAAUGCAUCUUUCUUUGCAUGAAACUUAAGCAACACUUGAUUUUUUUCUUUUGGACAAGGAAUUUGGUAGACCAUAGGCAAUUAGCUUAUGAUUAACAAAAACCUGAUUAACAGAUCAAAAUUCAUCUCAGAGUUUAGGCUUUAAGCCCUGGUAGAUAAAGUUCCCUU